Sapajus apella (tufted capuchin) is the source of this 535-nucleotide long non-coding RNA. RefSeq lists it as uncharacterized. The record is from RefSeq and is a predicted model, not a curated record. Lineage: Eukaryota; Metazoa; Chordata; Mammalia; Primates; Cebidae. The transcript has 4 exons.
CGGACACAGUGGUGCAUACCAGCAAUCUCAGCACUUUUGGGAGGCUGAGGUGGAAGGAGCACUUGAGCCCAGAAGUUUGAAACCAGCCUGAGCAACAUAGUGAGACCCUGUGUCUUUAAGAAAAAAAUCUUUUAAAUAAAAAAAUGCACAUUUCCAGGCUUCGCCCCCAGACUUAGCAAGAGUCUCUGUGGCAGAGGCCUGGGAAUAUGCACUGUCAGAAGCUCUCCAGGUGAUCCCAAUACAACGACUUCAUGUCCUAGAACUUGAGACCCACUGCCCCGUGCCAAAAUGGAAGUGUUCUGAGUCCAGGUUGAUACUUAGGCUCUUUUUGGCCUUUGUCAGAUAAGGUGUUGUCUUUUUCCUGCUGUUGCUUUUAACUCCCUCUGAACCACUGUCCUCUUUCAUUUUAGGUAAGGAGAAUUCGUGUUGCAAACUGCAAUGAACAUAAAUCCUGUUCGGACUGUUUAACAGCCACAGACCCUCACUGCGGUUGGUGCCAUUUGCUACAAAGAGAGAAGGGGAUCCACAUGAAAGA